RNAcentral lists this ribosomal RNA (253 nucleotides) under uncultured bacterium. Its description in RNAcentral is "partial 16S ribosomal RNA". It matches the Rfam family "Bacterial small subunit ribosomal RNA", at positions 524 to 776 of the family's 1533-position model. The record is from RNAcentral.
UACGUAGGGUCCGAGCGUUGUCCGGAAUCAUUGGGCGUAAAGAGCGUGUAGGCGGCCCGGUAAGUCCGCUGUAAAAGUCAAAGGCUCAACCUUUGAAUGUCAGUGGAUACUGCCGGGCUAGAGUCCGGAAGAGGCGAGUGGAACUCCUGGUGUAGCGGUGGAAUGCGCAGAUAUCAGGAAGAACACCAACGGCGAAGGCAGCUCGCUAGGACGGUACUGACGCUGAGACGCGAAAGCGUGGGGAGCGAACAGG